This 245-nucleotide ribosomal RNA is filed under the name uncultured bacterium. RNAcentral's name for it is "partial 16S ribosomal RNA". It matches the Rfam family "Bacterial small subunit ribosomal RNA", at positions 524 to 768 of the family's 1533-position model. The record is from RNAcentral.
UACGUAGGGGGCAAGCGUUGUCCGGAUUUAUUGGGCGUAAAGAGCGUGUAGGCGGCCAGGUAGGUCCGUUGUGAAAACUCGAGGCUCAACCUCGAGACGCCGAUGGAAACCAUCUGGCUAGAGUCCGGAAGAGGAGAGUGGAAUUCCCGGUGUAGCGGUGAAAUGCGCAGAUAUCGGGAAGAACACCCGUGGCUAAGGCGGCUCUCUAGUACGGUACUGACGCUGAGACGCGAAAGCGUGGGGAG